Molecule: unclassified non-coding RNA, 169 nt
Filed under: uncultured Exophiala
Lineage: Eukaryota; Fungi; Ascomycota; Eurotiomycetes; Chaetothyriales; Herpotrichiellaceae
Description: sequence contains ITS2
Source: RNAcentral
UCACCCCUCAAGCCUGGCUUGUUGUUGGACCUCCAGGUCUGGGUUCACCCCCGACCGGUCUCAAUAGUAAUGACGGCGUCCGUGGGACUCUCGGUGCAACGAGCUUUUUACGAGGCACGCACAGAGUCGAAAGGUCCCCCGGCACGGUCUUUUAAUCUUUAAUUUCUAA